RNAcentral lists this ribosomal RNA (219 nucleotides) under uncultured bacterium. RNAcentral's name for it is "partial 16S ribosomal RNA". The record is from RNAcentral.
UGGAGAAGUCGUAACAAGGUAACCGUAAGUCGUAACAAGGUAACCGUAAGUCGUAACAAGGUAGCCGUAAGUCGUAACAAGAUAGCCGUAGAGUUUGAUCAUGGCUCAGGAAAGUCGUAACAAGGUAGCCGUAAGUCGUAACAGGGUAACCGCAGAGUUUGAUCAUGGCUCAGUCUUUGACUAAAAAAAAUGGAGAAGUCGUAACAAGGUAACCGUAAG